This 233-nucleotide long non-coding RNA is filed under the name Citrus sinensis (sweet orange). RNAcentral's name for it is "long non-coding RNA (CSIN_LNC004817)". Lineage: Eukaryota; Viridiplantae; Streptophyta; Magnoliopsida; Sapindales; Rutaceae. The record is from RNAcentral.
AAAGAAACAACUUUGCUGACAAUUAUAUAUUUUGAUUUGGUCAGAAGAGUCCUCCGAAUAUUCUGUUCUUGGAUUAGGGAUCAGUCGCAAGAUUCAUUUUGGAAUAUGAAUAGAGAAGAGAGGGAGAGGAUAGGCUCAUUACAUUAAAAAAAGAUAUGGGAACCCCCCCCAUACAUAAGUAGUUGACGUAAUUGAGUGGGAGAGCCAAAUGAAUCGAAAAAUUCAUGUUUGGU